This 266-nucleotide ribosomal RNA is filed under the name uncultured bacterium. RNAcentral describes it as "partial 16S ribosomal RNA". It matches the Rfam family "Bacterial small subunit ribosomal RNA", at positions 524 to 776 of the family's 1533-position model. The record is from RNAcentral.
UACGAAGGGUGCAAAGCGUUGCUCGGAAUUAUUGGGCGUAAAGCGCACGUAGGCGGCUUUGCAAGUCGGAUGUGAAAUCCCUCGGCUUAACCAAGGAAGUGCAUCCGAAAACUGCAAGAGCUUGAGUUACUUUAAGAGGGAUCGCGGAAUUCCCGGUGUAGAGGUGAAAUUCGUAGAUAUCGGGAGGAACACCAGUGGCGAAGGGCGGCGAUCUGGGAAGAGUACUUGACGCUGAGGGUGCGAAAAGCGUGGGGGGAGCAAACAGG